Molecule: long non-coding RNA, 1434 nt
Organism: Cyprinus carpio (common carp)
Lineage: Eukaryota; Metazoa; Chordata; Actinopteri; Cypriniformes; Cyprinidae
Source: Ensembl
CCAUCGAUCUCUGGUAUCUCCUGUGUUCCCGUCAAGCUCGCUGGACAGUUCCCUCUCCUGUAAAAGAAAAAGGGACAAGCAUUAGUAAUCCGUGAUUGUGUGGCAUUGAACUCUUGUCUAUGGACGUACUCACCUGCAUUCCGCCUCUCACUGAGUGAUCUGCACAGAAUCCGCACCUGAAAUCACCUUCUACUCAGCGUGCACUUAUUCUUGAGAAAAAUAAACAUUGUGUUGAAUUCACUUACCUCUGCCUCCAGUGACUAUCCUGACAGAAGGCUUGACGCAAACCGCUAUGAAUCCGGCACAGCGCAAAGACAGUGCUUCCGCAAACCCCGCUCCCAUGCUGGUGUAUGUCAUGAACACCGUCUCUCGACCAGCGCCCUUCUCUGGCCGGGUGGAGCAUUGCAAUAGGUUUCUGCUACAAUGUUCACUCGCUCUCCAACAACACCCUCACCAAUAUCCUAUGGAAAGAUCCAAGAUUUAAUUUAUCAUCCUGCAGUUAUCCGGGGCCGCGUUAAGAUGGGCUGAAACGCUAUGGUUUCAAGAGACUGCGAUCACCUCUUCAUUACAAAGUUUCAUUAGCCAUUUUAAGGAAGUGUUUGGGGAUCCUGUAGAUGACUCUUCUGACACUGACCAACAAAUACAUCAAGAGCCUCCGGUCCCGUCCAUAGAUCUUCCUCCGAUAUCUCCCCAGUUAAGCCCAGGAUGGGCUCCUGGGCCCCAGUUAAGCCCAGAAGUGGCACCCAAUCUCCCGUCAUGCCCAGAAGUGGCUCCCGAUCUCCCGUCAUGCCCAGAAGUGGCUCCUGAACCCCAGUUAAGCCCAGGGAGGGCUUCUGAACCCCCAUUAGGCCCCGAAGAGGCUCCUGAUCUCCCGUUAGGCCCAGAAGAGGCUUCCCUUUCACCAGCUCAGGAUUGCGCGGAGUCCCCUGCUUCACUUUGGCCCUCCAGACCCAAGUCUCCACCUCGGCCUGUCAGCCCGCCGGCUCCGUGCCGGCUCUGCAUCCCUUUGGCUCCACCGAGGCCCGUCUGCCCAAGGACUCCUCCGGGCUCCCUCGUCCAUCCAGACAAACCUCGGUCGGUCGUCGCUCAGCUUCCGCCACGGACUUCUGGGUCUCCAGCUUCGCCUCGACCCUCCACCCCUUUGGCUUCACCAGGCUCCUCCCUUCCUCUGGUUUCCCUUUCAUCCUCGCUUGCCCCAUCGUCGUCCUGGUCAGCCGAAUCCUUGGCUCCGCCUCAGGCAUGCGAGCCAGCCGCUCCGCCUUGGGCUUCCAGGCCUGCGAUGUCGAACUGGUCCGUCGAGCUCUCCGCUCCGCUGGUUCCGCCAUGCACCCUGGUUCCGCCUCCGUGGAUCGGCCUCGGGGUGUCGCCCAGUCCUCCUGUCAAAGCCCCCCCUUGUUCCUCCCACUGUCAGCUCCACCAUGGUAUCGACCUCCU